This 86-nucleotide transfer RNA is filed under the name Roseovarius sp. RNAcentral describes it as "tRNA-Leu". It matches the Rfam family "tRNA". From Rfam's summary of the family: Transfer RNA (tRNA) molecules are approximately 80 nucleotides in length. Their secondary structure includes four short double-helical elements and three loops (D, anti-codon, and T loops). Lineage: Bacteria; Pseudomonadati; Pseudomonadota; Alphaproteobacteria; Rhodobacterales; Roseobacteraceae. RNAcentral also lists the same sequence under 1 other name. The record is from RNAcentral.
GCCCGCGUGGUGGAAUGGUAGACACAGGAGACUUAAAAUCUCCAGACCGGACGGUCGUGCGAGUUCGAGUCUCGCCGCGGGCACCA